AUGGCGCCGUCGCAGCCCAAGUCAGGGCUCUUCGUGGGCAUCAACAAGGGCCACGUCGUCACCAAGCGCGAGCUGCCGCCACGCCCGUCCGACCGCAAGGGGAAAGGUACCAAGAGGGUGCAUUUUGUCAGGAACUUGAUUAGGGAGGUUGCUGGAUUCGCUCCCUAUGAGAAACGUAUCACUGAGCUUCUUAAGGUUGGAAAGGACAAGCGUGCACUCAAGGUCGCCAAGAGAAAGCUUGGUACUCACAAGAGAGCAAAGAAGAAGAGAGAGGAGAUGUCAAGUGUCCUUAGGAAGAUGAGGUCUGCUGGUGGUGGUGGUGCUGGUGACAAGAAGAAAUAG
This 342-nucleotide ribosomal RNA is filed under the name Triticum aestivum (bread wheat). Its description in RNAcentral is "partial small subunit ribosomal RNA". Lineage: Eukaryota; Viridiplantae; Streptophyta; Magnoliopsida; Poales; Poaceae. The record is from RNAcentral.